ACUACGGGAGGCUGCAGUGAGGAAUAUUGGUCAAUGGGCGUAAGCCUGAACCAGCCAAGUCGCGUGAGGGAUGAAGGUUCUAUGGAUCGUAAACCUCUUUUAUAAGGGAAUAAAGUGCGGGACGUGUCCCGUUUUGUAUGUACCUUAUGAAUAAGGAUCGGCUAACUCCUUGACAGCAGCCGCGGUAAUACGGAGGAUCCGAGCGUUAUCCGGAUUGAUUGGGUUUAAAGGGUGCGUAGGCGGCCUUUUAAGUCAGCGGUGAAAUUCUGUGGAUCAACCAUAGAAUUGCCGUUGAAACUGGGAGGCGUGAUUAUGUUUGAGGCAGGCGGAAUGCGUGGUGUAGCGGUGAAAUGCU
This 355-nucleotide ribosomal RNA is filed under the name uncultured bacterium. Its description in RNAcentral is "partial 16S ribosomal RNA". It matches the Rfam family "Bacterial small subunit ribosomal RNA", at positions 338 to 690 of the family's 1533-position model. The record is from RNAcentral.